UCUUGCUGAUGGAUUAGCGAA
This 21-nucleotide small nuclear RNA is filed under the name Arabidopsis thaliana (thale cress). RNAcentral's name for it is "snRNA_00190". Lineage: Eukaryota; Viridiplantae; Streptophyta; Magnoliopsida; Brassicales; Brassicaceae. The record is from RNAcentral.